UACGGAAGGCAGCAGUGGGGAAUAUUGCACAAUGGGCGCAAGCCUGAUGCAGCCAUGCCGCGUGUAUGAAAAAGGCCUUCGGGUUGUAAAGUACUUUCAGUCGUGAGGAAGGUGUUAAGGUUAAUAACCUUAGCAAUUGACGUUAGCGACAGAAGAAGCACCGGCUAACUCCGUGCCAGCAGCCGCGGUAAUACGGAGGGUGCGAGCGUUAAUCGGAAUUACUGGGCGUAAAGGGCACGCAGGCGGUUAAUUAAGUUGGAUGUGAAAUCCCCGGGCUUAACCUGGGAAUGGCAUUCAAGACUGGUUAGCUAGAGUCUUGUAGAGGGGGUUAGAAUUCCAUGUGUAGCGGUGAAAUGCGUAGAGAUGUGGAGGAAUACCGGUGGCGAAGGCGGCCCCUGGACAAAGACUGACGCUCAUGUGCGAAAGCGUGGGGAGCAAACGAGGGAUUAGAUA
This 453-nucleotide ribosomal RNA is filed under the name uncultured bacterium. RNAcentral's name for it is "bacterial SSU rRNA". It matches the Rfam family "Bacterial small subunit ribosomal RNA", at positions 340 to 784 of the family's 1533-position model. The record is from RNAcentral.